Molecule: long non-coding RNA, 1239 nt
Organism: Dermacentor andersoni
Lineage: Eukaryota; Metazoa; Arthropoda; Arachnida; Ixodida; Ixodidae
Source: RefSeq, a predicted model, not a curated record
UUUGCCCCGAUUUGUAAUUGCUCCGGCAAUUGGGCACGCAGCACUUAUUAGGCAUAUCUAGGCAUGGCACUCCACAUUCCGGGGCAAUGAAGACUUGCGGUACACACAAUCACAAGCACAGCACAAAUGUUGAGACUGCAUGCACUGGUCACGUCUAGAAAAAAAAAUGUGCGUUCGGAAGCAUGCGGCAGCAUGGCUGAGCAUGUCGGGACUUGUUUAACCUUGAAGCUAUUCUGGGAGCGGCAGGGUUCCUGGAACUAAUCGAAUUGCUGUCGUCACCGUCGUCGCCUCGUUCUUCUCCGAAUAACCGGGGUUAACUAUUGUAUAUCUUCCGCGCUUCAUUUUCAACACGUGUGCGCCCCUAGUAGCUUCGCAGCGCGCUGCACGGAACUUCUAUGUUGGCCUCUUAUGCGUGACGUAGCUCAAGGGGAGAGGGUCAGCCAGAAGGCCUUCAGUUCUCUAGAGGGUGUUGCUAAUCUCUCUCGCUGGGGUUGUUUGACAAAGAGACGACAUAGGAGAGGGAACGCGAUUGUGUUGAGCCGGCAGCUUGCCUCCUACCCCUCUCUCACCUCUUAACCUUAUACCCUCUCUCACUCCCUCUCUAGUCACAGGGCCGUGCCCCCACAUGGGAGGAAGAAACCAGUGGCUAUUCUGACAUUCGCCGGACCAAGCCAACGCGUAAACCAAGCAGAAUUUCGCCAGCCUCGAGAACGGACAUAUUCCCAAACGCAGUACAUCCAACAUCUAUGGAGCGUGACCUCAGUAGGGACUUGCAACGGCUUCGUUUAGACGCCGCCGGCACCGAUGCGCAGGCAGAUGGAGGAAACAUCGCCCACACGCAGCCGACCCCCCAAGCCCUUGGUCCGGGUGACGGCACUAGUCCAGAGGCUGAGUUGUCCGCUUCCUCGGGCUGCCCACACCGGCCACCGCCUCGUCCCUGCUGUGAUUGCCACAUCCAACGAUUGCUCCGGGUGCACGCUCAACGUUACCGACACACUUCGUUCCCGGAAUGGUGUCUUGACGGUAUCUUGGUGGCGUUAGAACAUAAAAAUGAGGCGUGCAGGCUGCGGAACCAUGCGGUUUCCAUGGGAGCGUCGACGGGGGCUCGCCGCAACGUCUUCGAACCGCAGCCGCCGCAGUACUAGUGCUAACAUGGUUCCAAGAGGACUUCACCCAGAAGAAUAGCCAAGGAGUCAGCCUGAAAUGGAAAUACCACAACGUUGGUGUGCUCAAGCAAGC